RNAcentral lists this long non-coding RNA (220 nucleotides) under Panax ginseng (ginseng). RNAcentral's name for it is "long non-coding RNA (PGIN_LNC009598)". The record is from RNAcentral. Lineage: Eukaryota; Viridiplantae; Streptophyta; Magnoliopsida; Apiales; Araliaceae.
UCCUUUGAGUUUGUAUACUGUCUAGAUGACAAUAUACGUAUUAAAACUCUUAGAUUAUGUUUUGUCGUAUUUUACACGACUGCUGUAUUAUUAGUUUGUAUUUGAAUUUUGUACCAUUUAUCUGGCGACUCAAAAUGGGUGAUGAAUACCUAAUUUUGGGGGGCGUCACUGACGCCCCCAAAAUUAGGUACACAUCACCCAUCCUAGGUCGCCACUUUCA